This 496-nucleotide ribosomal RNA is filed under the name uncultured bacterium. RNAcentral describes it as "partial 16S ribosomal RNA". It matches the Rfam family "Bacterial small subunit ribosomal RNA", at positions 28 to 506 of the family's 1533-position model. The record is from RNAcentral.
GAUGAACGCUGGCGGCGUGCCUAAUACAUGCAAGUCGAGCGAACAGACGAGGAGCUUGCUCCUCUGACGUUAGCGGCGGACGGGUGAGUAACACGUGGAUAACCUACCUAUAAGACUGGGAUAACUUCGGGAAACCGGAGCUAAUACCGGAUAAUAUAUUGAACCGCAUGGUUCAAUAGUGAAAGACGGUUUUGCUGUCACUUAUAGAUGGAUCCGCGCCGCAUUAGCUAGUUGGUAAGGUAACGGCUUACCAAGGCAACGAUGCGUAGCCGACCUGAGAGGGUGAUCGGCCACACUGGAACUGAGAAACGGUCCAGACUCCUACGGGAGGCAGCAGUAGGGAAUCUUCCGCAAUGGGCGAAAGUCUGACGGAGCAACGCCGCGUGAGUGAUGAAGGUCUUCGGAUCGUAAAACUCUGUUAUUAGGGAAGAACAAAUGUGUAAGUAACUAUGCACGUCUUGACGGUACCUAAUCAGAAAGCCACGGCUAACUACGU